GUUUCUUUGUUUUUGUUUCUGUUUUUUGGUACCGAGGAUUGAACUCAGGACCCUGUACUUGUGAGGCAGGUGGCGGUGCCACUGAGCUAAAUCCCUGGCCCUGUCCUGUGUCUUUGAAAGAGAGGUCAUGUGACAGAUUCUGGAGUUUCAUCACUCACCAUUACUCACCUGGCUCCAGUGUCUACCCCGACUGAAUUGUUACUCAAAAUUGUCACCAGAUGGGGCCCAAGGAGGAGAUGCAGAUCUCAACUCACCUACCCUCAGAGUAGGUUCUUGACUUGUCAUGGAAAAGCAUUUUGGGGUGCAUCGGUGAGCAGCACUCGAGAAGUGUGCACUCAGAAGGGAGUGCGGGUGCUUGAGGGGUGGUGGGGCAGAUUAUGCUCUGGGGCUGGGGUAUGUAUGUGUUUUUGAGGGUAUCCUUAAGAUGAAUGAUCUAGCAUGUGUAUUCCUAGUGUCGUUACUCUUCAGGGGGCUAGGUUUGCACCUUGCCUUUGAAGUUUAAAAAUACAGUAGUGCCCAGUUAAUAUGCUAUUUCCUUGAGGGUGAAAGUAGUGGGAUUUGUAAAUGUAUAGCAGCAAAAGAAAAGCAUGGGCCCAAUUUACAGGAGACACAGGCCUAGUUUAUAGGCUUGCUGUAUCUUUUUAUCAUUGUUUGUUUUGGAGUGGG
RNAcentral lists this long non-coding RNA (666 nucleotides) under Fukomys damarensis (Damara mole-rat). RNAcentral describes it as "lncRNA (ENSFDAG00000030236.1)". Lineage: Eukaryota; Metazoa; Chordata; Mammalia; Rodentia; Bathyergidae. The record is from RNAcentral.